AGAACAUAAGGCUUUAAAAAGACCGAAUUAAAAAAACGGAACCCAUGCCUAACUUUGGUGGGCCCCGCUUGAGUCUUUAGUCUUUCAAGUCAAUUCCGUCGGUGUCUUGAUGCAAGUUACGCAAAAGAAAUUUUCUGGUGCACCGGAUCUCGGAGAAUGAGCAAUUUGAGACUCUGAGACUGCGGUAGGAGCCACGAAAAGGAGGGGGCAGACUGCCGAUGGGGCCCGGUGACGUGGCA
Molecule: long non-coding RNA, 239 nt
Filed under: Elaeis guineensis (African oil palm)
Lineage: Eukaryota; Viridiplantae; Streptophyta; Magnoliopsida; Arecales; Arecaceae
Description: long non-coding RNA (EGUI_LNC029273)
Source: RNAcentral